GACGAACGCUGGCGGCGUGCUUAACACAUGCAAGUCGAACGAAGAGCGAUGGAAGCUUGCUUCUAUCAAUCUUAGUGGCGAACGGGUGAGUAACGCGUAAUCAACCUGCCCUUCAGAGGGGGACAACAGUUGGAAACGACUGCUAAUACCGCAUACGAUCUAAACUCGGCAUCGAGGAUAGAUGAAAGGUGGCCUCUACAUGUAAGCUAUCACUGCAGGAGGGGAUUGCGUCUGAUUAGCUAGUUGGAGGGGUAACGGCCCACCAAGGCGAUGAUCAGUAGCCGGUCGGAGAGGAUGAACGGCCACAUUGGGACUGAGACACGGCCCAGACUCCUACGGGAGGCAGCAGUGGGGAAUCUUCCGCAAUGGACGAAAGUCUGACGGAGCAACGCCGCGUGAGUGAUGACGGCCUUCGGGUUGUAAAGCUCUGUUAAUCGGGACGAAAGGCCUUCUUGCGAAUAGUGAGAAGGAUUGACGGUACCGGAAUAGAAAGCCACGGCUAACUACGUG
This 510-nucleotide ribosomal RNA is filed under the name uncultured bacterium. RNAcentral's name for it is "partial 16S ribosomal RNA". It matches the Rfam family "Bacterial small subunit ribosomal RNA", at positions 28 to 507 of the family's 1533-position model. The record is from RNAcentral.